GCCGAAGCUUGAAGAUAACACCGGGUGGGAAACACAACACUCUCUCUACACAAGUCUUCACCACUGCGUCGGAGGCGCAGCCACCAGAACCAGGUUUUUACAAUCUACUUGGGUUUCGGUGGAUUUUUUAGAUUAUUGUUAGAGAUACAACAAUGGAGACAUCUCUAAGAUAUGGAGUAGAUUCCAAAGCCCUUAAAAUUCAUGCCAAGGAGAGGUUUGCCAUUGAUUCCAGCACCCACUUGCAGGUUCAUGGGGAGCUAGAUACAAGAAUUGGAGCUCCUAGUUAUGUCAGUGCAAUGAUAAGACACUUUUACCCAGAUUUGUCUGCUUGUCUUGGAGUGGGAUUGCAAUAUGAUAAGCAUGAAAAACUCAGGUAUUUUGUUCGAGGAAAAAAGGGUUUUCCUGUGACAAAUGAUGGUUUGAUAAGCUUCAAUGUUAAGGGACGAUGUGAUGUUGACAAAGAAUUUAAACAGAGGAAUUCAAAAGCAGCUGCGGACGUUUCUUGGAGCAUAUAUAAUUUCCAUAGAGAACAAGAUGUUAGAUUCAGAAUUGGGUAUGAAGUGAUUACCAAGGUGCCUUAUCUGCAGAUUAAGGAAAAUAAUUGGACCCUCAAUGCUGACAUGAAUGGUAAAUGGAAUGUCAAAUUUGAUUUGUGAGCAAAGAAAGAGCAUGAUAUAUUCUCUUAGAGAUUGUUCGUUACAAUUUGACCCUCUUGUGGGAUUCAGUAGAAUGCGUAAUUCUAGUUCUCCAUUGCUGAUUAUGGAACUUGUCGAACUAGUGUUUGUGACUUGCAUAAGGGAGUAGUUUCUGUUUGGCCUACUUGGAAUUCCAAUAAGAGCACAUCGUUACAGGGGUGAUUUGAACAAACAAUUGCUUAGCUAUGUAUUAUGUAGGUAAAUUGAGGAUUGUAUUCCCUUUUAAACAUUAUGCUUCAUAUCCUUGUUCCAUAUACUGAACAUUGUUUCAUGCCUGGGAUAUGGAAAUCAUUUCUUUGCAUAA
This is an RNA transcript of Populus trichocarpa (black cottonwood), 999 nucleotides long. It is a transcript of the gene named outer envelope pore protein 21B, chloroplastic, with no coding region annotated. The transcript is spliced from 7 exons. The record is from RefSeq and is a predicted model, not a curated record. NCBI's taxonomy places the organism in Eukaryota, Viridiplantae, Streptophyta, Magnoliopsida, Malpighiales, Salicaceae.